UACGUAGGGUGCGAGCGUUGUCCGGAAUCACUGGGCGUAAAGGGCGCGUAGGCGGCCUGGCAAGUCGAUGGUGAAAGCCCGAGGCUCAACUUCGGGUCGGCCACUGAUACUGCUGGGCUUGAGUCGACUAGAGGCAGAUGGAAUUCCGGGUGUAGCGGUGGAAUGCGUAGAGAUCCGGAAGAACACCGGUGGCGAAGGCGGUCUGCUGGGGUCGAACUGACGCUGAGGCGCGACAGCGUGGGGAGCAAACAGG
This 253-nucleotide ribosomal RNA is filed under the name uncultured bacterium. RNAcentral describes it as "partial 16S ribosomal RNA". It matches the Rfam family "Bacterial small subunit ribosomal RNA", at positions 524 to 776 of the family's 1533-position model. The record is from RNAcentral.